Molecule: ribosomal RNA, 409 nt
Filed under: bacterium
Lineage: Bacteria
Description: partial 16S ribosomal RNA
Rfam family: Bacterial small subunit ribosomal RNA
Source: RNAcentral
UGGGGAAUAUUGCACAAUGGGCGAAAGCCUGAUGCAGCGACGCCGCGUGAGGGAUGACGGCCUUCGGGUUGUAAACCUCUUUCAGUAGGGACGAAGCGCAAGUGACGGUACCUGCAGAAGAAGCACCGGCUAACUACGUGCCAGCAGCCGCGGUAAUACGUAGGGUGCGGGCGUUGUCCGGAAUUACUGGGCGUAAAGAGCUCGUAGGCGGUUUGUCACGUCGUCUGUGAAAUCCUAGGGCUUAGCCCUGGACGUGCAGGCGAGACGGGCUGACUUGAGUUCUAGAGGGGAGACUGGAAUUUCUGGUGUAGCGGUGGAAUGCACAGAUAUCAGGAAGAACACCGAUGGCGAAGGCAGGUCUCUGGGUCGUAACAGACGCUGAGGAGCGAAAGCAUGGGUAGCGAACAGG